GCAACUCGCCUGCAUGAAGUUGGAAUUGCUAGUAAUCGCGAAUCAGAAUGUCGCGGUGAAUACGUUCCCGGGCCUUGUACACACCGCCCGUCAACACCAUGAGAGUCGAUAACACCCGAAGCCUGUGAGCUAACCUUUUAGGAGGCAGCAGUCGAAGGUGGGGUUGAUGAUUGGGGUGAAGUCGUAACAAGGUACC
This 196-nucleotide ribosomal RNA is filed under the name uncultured bacterium. RNAcentral describes it as "partial 16S ribosomal RNA". It matches the Rfam family "Bacterial small subunit ribosomal RNA", at positions 1307 to 1500 of the family's 1533-position model. The record is from RNAcentral.